RNAcentral lists this transfer RNA (73 nucleotides) under Limnofasciculus baicalensis BBK-W-15. RNAcentral describes it as "tRNA-Lys". It matches the Rfam family "tRNA". Rfam says of the family: Transfer RNA (tRNA) molecules are approximately 80 nucleotides in length. Their secondary structure includes four short double-helical elements and three loops (D, anti-codon, and T loops). Further hydrogen bonds mediate the characteristic L-shaped molecular structure. tRNAs have two regions of fundamental functional importance: the anti-codon, which is responsible for specific mRNA codon recognition, and the 3' end, to which the tRNAs corresponding amino acid is attached (by aminoacyl-tRNA synthetases). tRNAs cope with the degeneracy of the genetic code in two manners: having more than one tRNA (with a specific anti-codon) for a particular amino acid; and 'wobble' base-pairing, i.e. permitting non-standard base-pairing at the 3rd anti-codon position. Lineage: Bacteria; Bacillati; Cyanobacteriota; Cyanophyceae; Coleofasciculales; Coleofasciculaceae. The record is from RNAcentral.
GAGAGUAUAGCUCAAUUGGCAGAGCAGUCGGCUUUUAACCGACUCGUUGCAGGUUCAAUUCCUGCUACUCUCA